GUGGGGAAUAUUGGACAAUGGGGGAAACCCUGAUCCAGCAAUGCCGCGUGAGUGAAGAAGGCCCUAGGGUUGUAAAACUCUUUCACCCGUGAAGAUGAUGACGGUAGCGGGAGAAGAAGCCCCGGCUAACUCCGUGCCAGCAGCCGCGGUAAUACGGAGGGGGCUAGCGUUGUUCGGAUUUACUGGGCGUAAAGCGCACGUAGGCGGAUCGAUCAGUUGGGGGUGAAAGGCCUGGGCUCAACCUGGGAACUGCCUUCAAUACUGUCGAUCUAGAGUCCGGGAGAGGGUAGUGGAAUUCCCAGUGUAGAGGUGAAAUUCGUAGAUAUUGGGAAGAACACCGGUGGCGAAGGCGGCUACCUGGUCCGGUACUGACGCUGAGGUGCGAAAGCGUGGGGAGCGAACAGGAUUAGAUACCCGUGUAGUCC
RNAcentral lists this ribosomal RNA (425 nucleotides) under uncultured bacterium. RNAcentral describes it as "bacterial SSU rRNA". It matches the Rfam family "Bacterial small subunit ribosomal RNA", at positions 354 to 796 of the family's 1533-position model. The record is from RNAcentral.